UUGCAUAAUGUAUAAUUUAUAAAUCUGAUGUGAACCAGGUUAAUGAUGAGGAUCGAACAUGAUCGUAUUGAUCCAUCAUGCCACAUCUAGUGAGAGAGUAGAACAUUUGAUCAGAUCUGUGUGUCCCUCACUCGCCCAAUCACCAGCUCCCGAUCACUUCACCUUGACACUCGCCCAAUCACCAGCUCCCGAUCACUUCACCUUUAUUCCAGGGAGACGAUCGUUCAGGGUAAAAGGCUUAUCUCCUGCCGACGGCCCCAGGUGGUCUAGGCGGCUCACAAUACACAUUGUAUAUCCUAUAGGUGUGACUCUGUGGGGGGCAGGUAGGAGCCCCAUAAAGGCUGCCUGGAUGAGGCUGUUGGUCUAGUCAAGGUCUAGUCUGAGGCUGCAACAACUUUGGGGAAGUCCACAAAAAAGAAAUGCAAAACUUUGGAAGAACAGCACAUUUGAUAAAACACAUAGAGAGAAAGUGGAUCCAGGAGUAUACAGAAGAAACAUCAAGGGUAUCUUCUGAGGACGAAUCCCUUGCCUGGCACUCCCCAUGGAGAUCAUCAUCCUCCUCACCCGCCACAAGCACUGCCAACAUUGCUUUUCCAGAGGCUGCCACCACCGCUGCCACCACCGCCGCUGCCGCCGCUGCCGCCGCUGCCGCCGCUGCUUCACUACAAGAACAUGCUGCUUGCUUAAAAAAGGAGGAAGGGCGCCAACAACAGCGCCAAGAGGAGCCCCAAGAAGAGCUCCAAGAGGAGCCCCAAGAGGAGCCCCAAGAAGAGACCCACGAAGAGCGCCAAAGCCAAUGCCGAAAUUGUGGACUUCCCAGGACCCUGUCGAAGGGGCAUGCCUUUUACAAAGGGCAUUUCUACUGCACACACACUGCAGGGCCUGGGGCAAAGUCUGCCAAUGAGUGGCUGAAGGAGCAGGAAGAAAAGGAAGCACCAAAAAUUCCCAGGACAACUGCCUUCACCAUGAGGAAAAAGUGGGAGAAUGAGCACAGUUUCAAACCUCCAGAAAACAGAAGGAAGCCGAAUAAACUUAGAAUCUGCCAGCUGUGUGGCCUGCCAAAGCACAAAGAUUAUGGCCACAGCCAGCACCAGUCUGAACACUUUUGUGCUUUUUACGCUGGCAAAUCUGUAGAGUUGUGGCUGGCAGAGAGGUGUAAGGAGUGACCCACCACAUAAAUACUGGUGUCACUCUGUGUGUGUGUGUGUGUGUGUGUUUAAAUAAUCAUGUUAAUUCAAAGUUUAUUUUAGCAUUCAUCGCUUGAAAGUCAAAUGUUAGUAGUAGUAGUAGUAGGAAAGAAGUGACCCUCCACCACAAUAUUGCUUGUGUCAUUAUGUUGUGUGUGUAAUAAAAAUAUGUUACUUCUAAGUUUUUUUGGUAAU
RNAcentral lists this long non-coding RNA (1382 nucleotides) under Betta splendens (Siamese fighting fish). RNAcentral describes it as "lncRNA (ENSBSLG00000017128.1)". Lineage: Eukaryota; Metazoa; Chordata; Actinopteri; Anabantiformes; Osphronemidae. The record is from RNAcentral.